This is a long non-coding RNA of Triticum dicoccoides, 775 nucleotides long. RefSeq lists it as uncharacterized. Lineage: Eukaryota; Viridiplantae; Streptophyta; Magnoliopsida; Poales; Poaceae. The transcript has 2 exons. The record is from RefSeq and is a predicted model, not a curated record.
UCCUUGAACCAUCGUCCCUAUCCGUCCCUCUCCCUCUGCCCCGGCGAGCCACCAUCCUGCUCCGCCCCGUGCUGCUGUGGCCCGCCUCCAACGCCACCCGCCUGUCGCCGGCGCUCCGGACGAAGCUCCGCUGCCACAUCAACUCCAACCGCUAACGGAUUCGACCCCCCAACCGACCCCAACGAUGGAUCCGGGUACGGGGGAAGCACGAAUCCGUCACUGCAGAUCCUGCACGGGCUGAGACUUCGGGGAUGAAGAGGUUUCGUGGAAAAAGUUUCCCCGUCAACUCUGACACCGUUGGGAUGCAACGGCAGCGGCCAGCAGCAAUGCAAUGUUGCCGCUGGGGCAGUGACUGCUUGUGGCAGCCAAAAGCAAGCAGCAGCUGCAGUACGCGGCGCUGGGCAGGGGGCUAUUUGCGUCAGCGAGCAGCGGCAGCCAUGGCUUCAGCAAGCAUCAGGAAAUAGGUGGCUCAGACUGAGAUGGGGAGCAGCAAAUCCAUGCCGUUCUGUACCUGCUCGCCCUGUUUCUAGGAAUCCCGGUAGCUAUCCCCCUGUUUUUUUUACGAGAAAUCCCCUGGUUAAUUGGUACCCGCCCAUCGAUCCAGGAAGUUAUUGUAAAAAAAAAUAUUCAGGAAGUUUAUAUGUAGCUUCUCUGUCUUCCAAGAUGUAACCAAGAUGUUUGUCUUCCAGGAUCAUGAAGUAAACUUCCUGGAUCGACUAAGAUGUAUUUUCUUUCUUGAAAUAUAUAACCAAGAAGUUGGAUAUUAAGUAAACCA